CUCUCCUCCCAGUCAGAGACCAUUGCACUCCGGGACCAUGUUGGGUACCAUCAGUCCUGGGGGCCUGGCAUGGCUGAAACAAACUCGAUGAUAUUUUCAGUGCUGCAGUGCGGGACCUCAUUUCCCAGUAUGAGUGUGAAGAUUUCAAUCAGGAUGCAUGGGCGUCCUGUACCGGAGAGCUGAUAUUCCACAGGUUAUCUCCACUUAAGAUCCCAG
Molecule: non-coding RNA, 216 nt
Organism: Pelobates cultripes (western spadefoot toad)
Lineage: Eukaryota; Metazoa; Chordata; Amphibia; Anura; Pelobatidae
Source: the annotation of a GenBank genome assembly